AUGCAAGGCCCUCCUGGUCUGCCUCCUCCGGCCCCAUUCUACCCCGGCGGAUACCCUCCUCCGCCGGGCUGGCCUGGUUACCCUAUGCCAUUUGUUCCGGUGCAAGGGUACGGAGCUCCACCUGGUGCGUAUCCUCAACCCGGAGGAUACCCUCCGGCCGGGUAUCCACAACAACAUGGCCAUGCGCAGCCCGCUGGCUAUGCCGUCCAUGAUAAAUCGAAGAAGAAGUCUUCAAAGAAAGGAAAAAAAGGUAAGGGUGGUGGCUUCGGCUCAUUCCUCGCCGGUGCCGCUAGCGGUGCAGUUACGGUACUUGGAGCUGUAUUGGCUGAAGAUGAAGAACAGUCUUCUGGCAAGUUCAAAUGGAAGUGA
This 369-nucleotide ribosomal RNA is filed under the name Triticum aestivum (bread wheat). RNAcentral describes it as "partial small subunit ribosomal RNA". Lineage: Eukaryota; Viridiplantae; Streptophyta; Magnoliopsida; Poales; Poaceae. The record is from RNAcentral.